RNAcentral lists this ribosomal RNA (431 nucleotides) under uncultured bacterium. Its description in RNAcentral is "bacterial SSU rRNA". It matches the Rfam family "Bacterial small subunit ribosomal RNA", at positions 335 to 758 of the family's 1533-position model. The record is from RNAcentral.
ACUCCUACGGGAGGCAGCAGUGGGGAAUAUUGCACAAUGGGCGCAAGCCUGAUGCAGCCAUGCCGCGUGUGUGAAGAAGGCCUUCGGGUUGUAAAGCACUUUCAGUUGUGAGGAAGGUGGUGUCGUUAAUAGCGGCAUCAUUUGACGUUAGCAACAGAAGAAGCACCGGCUAACUCCGUGCCAGCAGCCGCGGUAAUACGGAGGGUGCGAGCGUUAAUCGGAAUUACUGGGCGUAAAGCGCAUGCAGGUGGUUUGUUAAGUCAGAUGUGAAAGCCCGGGGCUCAACCUCGGAACUGCAUUUGAAACUGGCAGACUAGAGUACUGUAGAGGGGGGUAGAAUUUCAGGUGUAGCGGUGAAAUGCGUAGAGAUCUGAAGGAAUACCGGUGGCGAAGGCGGCCCCCUGGACAGAUACUGACACUCAGAUGCGAAA